CUAGCGACUUCAGAGUUUGAUCCUGGCUCAGGAUGAACGCUGGCGGCGUGCUUAACACAUGCAAGUCGAACGAAGCACUUAUCUUUGAUUCUUCGGAUGAAGAGGCAAGUGACUGAGUGGCGGACGGGUGAGUAACGCGUGGGUAACCUGCCUCAUACAGGGGGAUAACAGUUAGAAAUGACUGCUAAUACCGCAUAAGCGCACAGUACCGCAUGGUACCGUGUGAAAAAACUCCGGUGGUAUGAGAUGGACCCGCGUCUGAUUAGCUAGUUGGUGAGGUAACGGCUCACCAAGGCAACGAUCAGUAGCCGGCCUGAGAGGGUGAACGGCCACAUUGGGACUGAGACACGGCCCAA
Molecule: ribosomal RNA, 356 nt
Filed under: uncultured bacterium
Lineage: Bacteria
Description: bacterial SSU rRNA
Rfam family: Bacterial small subunit ribosomal RNA
Source: RNAcentral